GGCCCCAUCGUCUAGCCUGGUCCAGGACGCCGCCCUUUCAAGGCGGUAGCACGGGUUCAAAUCCCGUUGGGGCCACCA
This 78-nucleotide transfer RNA is filed under the name Actinomycetota bacterium. Its description in RNAcentral is "tRNA-Glu". It matches the Rfam family "tRNA". From Rfam's summary of the family: Transfer RNA (tRNA) molecules are approximately 80 nucleotides in length. Their secondary structure includes four short double-helical elements and three loops (D, anti-codon, and T loops). The record is from RNAcentral. Lineage: Bacteria; Bacillati; Actinomycetota.